Molecule: ribosomal RNA, 2143 nt
Filed under: Escherichia coli
Lineage: Bacteria; Pseudomonadati; Pseudomonadota; Gammaproteobacteria; Enterobacterales; Enterobacteriaceae
Description: partial 23S ribosomal RNA
Rfam family: Bacterial large subunit ribosomal RNA
Source: RNAcentral
GGUUAAGCGACUAAGCGUACACGGUGGAUGCCCUGGCAGUCAGAGGCGAUGAAGGACGUGCUAAUCUGCGAUAAGCGUCGGUAAGGUGAUAUGAACCGUUAUAACCGGCGAUUUCCGAAUGGGGAAACCCAGUGUGUUUCGACACACUAUCAUUAACUGAAUCCAUAGGUUAAUGAGGCGAACCGGGGGAACUGAAACAUCUAAGUACCCCGAGGAAAAGAAAUCAACCGAGAUUCCCCCAGUAGCGGCGAGCGAACGGGGAGGAGCCCAGAGCCUGAAUCAGUGUGUGUGUUAGUGGAAGCGUCUGGAAAGGCGCGCGAUACAGGGUGACAGCCCCGUACACAAAAAUGCACAUACUGUGAGCUCGAUGAGUAGGGCGGGACACGUGGUAUCCUGUCUGAAUAUGGGGGGACCAUCCUCCAAGGCUAAAUACUCCUGACUGACCGAUAGUGAACCAGUACCGUGAGGGAAAGGCGAAAAGAACCCCGGCGAGGGGAGUGAAAAAGAACCUGAAACCGUGUACGUACAAGCAGUGGGAGCCUCUUUUAUGGGGUGACUGCGUACCUUUUGUAUAAUGGGUCAGCGACUUAUAUUCUGUAGCAAGGUUAACCGAAUAGGGGAGCCGAAGGGAAACCGAGUCUUAACUGGGCGUUAAGUUGCAGGGUAUAGACCCGAAACCCGGUGAUCUAGCCAUGGGCAGGUUGAAGGUUGGGUAACACUAACUGGAGGACCGAACCGACUAAUGUUGAAAAAUUAGCGGAUGACUUGUGGCUGGGGGUGAAAGGCCAAUCAAACCGGGAGAUAGCUGGUUCUCCCCGAAAGCUAUUUAGGUAGCGCCUCGUGAAUUCAUCUCCGGGGGUAGAGCACUGUUUCGGCAAGGGGGUCAUCCCGACUUACCAACCCGAUGCAAACUGCGAAUACCGGAGAAUGUUAUCACGGGAGACACACGGCGGGUGCUAACGUCCGUCGUGAAGAGGGAAACAACCCAGACCGCCAGCUAAGGUCCCAAAGUCAUGGUUAAGUGGGAAACGAUGUGGGAAGGCCCAGACAGCCAGGAUGUUGGCUUAGAAGCAGCCAUCAUUUAAAGAAAGCGUAAUAGCUCACUGGUCGAGUCGGCCUGCGCGGAAGAUGUAACGGGGCUAAACCAUGCACCGAAGCUGCGGCAGCGACGCUUAUGCGUUGUUGGGUAGGGGAGCGUUCUGUAAGCCUGUGAAGGUGUACUGUGAGGUAUGCUGGAGGUAUCAGAAGUGCGAAUGCUGACAUAAGUAACGAUAAAGCGGGUGAAAAGCCCGCUCGCCGGAAGACCAAGGGUUCCUGUCCAACGUUAAUCGGGGCAGGGUGAGUCGACCCCUAAGGCGAGGCCGAAAGGCGUAGUCGAUGGGAAACAGGUUAAUAUUCCUGUACUUGGUGUUACUGCGAAGGGGGGACGGAGAAGGCUAUGUUGGCCGGGCGACGGUUGUCCCGGUUUAAGCGUGUAGGCUGGUUUUCCAGGCAAAUCCGGAAAAUCAAGGCUGAGGCGUGAUGACGAGGCACUACGGUGCUGAAGCAACAAAUGCCCUGCUUCCAGGAAAAGCCUCUAAGCAUCAGGUAACAUCAAAUCGUACCCCAAACCGACACAGGUGGUCAGGUAGAGAAUACCAAGGCGCUUGAGAGAACUCGGGUGAAGGAACUAGGCAAAAUGGUGCCGUAACUUCGGGAGAAGGCACGCUGAUAUGUAGGUGAAGCGACUUGCUCGUGGAGCUGAAAUCAGUCGAAGAUACCAGCUGGCUGCAACUGUUUAUUAAAAACACAGCACUGUGCAAACACGAAAGUGGACGUAUACGGUGUGACGCCUGCCCGGUGCCGGAAGGUUAAUUGAUGGGGUUAGCGGUAACGCGAAGCUCUUGAUCGAAGCCCCGGUAAACGGCGGCCGUAACUAUAACGGUCCUAAGGUAGCGAAAUUCCUUGUCGGGUAAGUUCCGACCUGCACGAAUGGCGUAAUGAUGGCCAGGCUGUCUCCACCCGAGACUCAGUGAAAUUGAACUCGCUGUGAAGAUGCAGUGUACCCGCGGCAAGACGGAAAGACCCCGUGAACCUUUACUAUAGCUUGACACUGAACAUUGAGCCUUGAUGUGUAGGAUAGGUGGGAGGCUUUGAAGUGUGG